Long non-coding RNA from Anguilla rostrata (American eel), 1793 nucleotides. RefSeq lists it as uncharacterized. The record is from RefSeq and is a predicted model, not a curated record. Lineage: Eukaryota; Metazoa; Chordata; Actinopteri; Anguilliformes; Anguillidae. The transcript is spliced from 3 exons.
CCACUGGCUUAAGACUAAAAGCAUGGGAAAAAAAGCAUCUUUCUGAUAUGAUCACAUGUAUAGCGUAUAGCCAGAUGUCUAUAAAUCACAUAGAUAGAAGGAACAAGACUGCAAUCUUAUUAGAAUCCCCCAUUCACUUUUAUGGGCACUUCUUGCACAGCCCAUAUAGGCUAAAAGCUACAGCCCCAAUGGAUCACGCCUUUGGAAUACGAUUAGGCCUACAGCAUAUUUGCUUUGUGCCUGAGUUUUCAAUGGUACUCUCCUCACCAAGUGGGCCAAGAGGAAUGAUAUGUGAAUUUGAACGGAAUAUUUGAUGUUUGGCCCAUUUUAAACAGACAAUGAGAAACACUACCUUUUUGACUGAUGAGGGCUUCUAUGAAAAUGAAACAACUGACUUUCGUUAGAAUACUGGCGUUUGGUUUGUUUAGCUGGAGCAGGCCAGACGGCUCAAGUUAAGUAGUCUAAUGUUACAAAAGAUGUCUUGCCGCACCCGCGAUACCUACAUUUUAAAACUAGGCCAAAAGGAGUACCUCUUCCAAGUAGCCCAAUUCAGUGGGAAACCCUCGGACCUGGAAACACAGCUUGUGCGGUACCAUACAGCAACUUGCGCCAUUGAAAUAGGCUACAUUGUGUACAGGCUUGUAUGACAGAUGAAUACUUGCAUCGUGACUUCAAUUCAAGGAGAGUACAAUCCACAGAAGUAAGGCUGAAUUUCUUUUGCCAUUGCGAUUUCAUGUCUCAUGACCACAGAACUGAAUGUUGAUCACGACUUUGGUGAAGAAGAUUCGUGGGAAUUCUGGGUAAGAUCCAAGCGAAUUCUGGGUAGAAUAAAACCAAUAAAAAAUGGAGGUUCUUGUGGAUAGUUUGACACAUAACACCAGUAGCCUACCCUACCAGCUUUGUCGCAAUAAUAUCAGGAACUUUAUAAGAAAGCAUUAGCAUACAAAACUGCCGUAAUUUACACCUGUGAACUAAAGCGUCUUUGCACCUUCCUCCUUGACAAAUCGCAUAUGAAAUAACACAUUUUCCGGCCUUAAGUUCUUAACAAUCAAGGGCGAUGGACCAUUUUUACCAGGCGCCUCCAUCGUGCGGCAAGACCAAGCGGUGCAUUCCACGGGAUUCAAUCAAUUUCUAAAUGCCGGUAAUGAAUUAUUCAGCCGCGCGUGCGCGCGAAGGAGCGAUUCCCUAUCUGAUCACCCGUGCCCUUGGCAGAUUCCAUGUUGUCAUGGGAACUGUCUAGACUCGUGGUCUGAUACCGCGCUACGUUUCAAUGCAAAUGAAUGAGAGAGAAAUCAGAGCAUUUUGUGUGCUAUUGCUGUGGUAACAUAAAUUGCGUGGUCAGGAUCUGACACAUUUCAGAAUUGCAUUUCAAUAGGAACAAUACCAAGGAUCAAACGUUAUUCUUCCAGAUGGUUUAGAGCAGACGUGAAGCGAACAAUGACCUGGAAGACGGUGCCACAACUCCACCUGGUGGCGAAGUAGUGAAACAAUACAAACGUGAGCACGGCAACAAGGCAAGCUGGAAAGGUGUACUCUCAAACAAUUAUUAAACUAAUUAACGACAUUAAUUGAUAAAAGAAUUGUCAGGUAAUUCUACAGGCCAACAAUAGGUUAAAUACUUAAUAAAGCUUGCAGAUGUUUGCUAAUUAAAAAGCAUUUCAUGAGGGUUUGAGUGUGCAUGCCUGAAUUCAUGUGUGUACACACGUAUUUAAUUGCAUUUUUUGUGCUAGUCUUUCCUACCAACCACCCCUGCCUGAUACAGCUUGUCUCCCGUUCAGGCGGAUCAAGGUCAU